UACGGAGGAUGCGAGCGUUAUCCGGAUUUAUUGGGUUUAAAGGGUGCGCAGGCGGCGUGUCAAGUCAGCGGUAAAAUGUCGGGGCUCAACCCCGGCCGGCCGUUGAAACUGGCAGGCUCGAGUUGGAGAGAAGUAUGCGGAAUUCGUGGUGUAGCGGUGAAAUGCAUAGAUAUCACGAAGAACUCCGAUUGCGAAGGCAGCAUACCGGCUCCAUACUGACGCUCAGGCACGAAAGCGUGGGGAUCGAACAGG
RNAcentral lists this ribosomal RNA (252 nucleotides) under uncultured bacterium. RNAcentral describes it as "partial 16S ribosomal RNA". It matches the Rfam family "Bacterial small subunit ribosomal RNA", at positions 524 to 776 of the family's 1533-position model. The record is from RNAcentral.